CAAUGGUAAACAACACACCCACUCUCACAUGUGUACAAACCAGUGCAAACAAGGUCACAGAGAAGUGGGGAAUUAUAGGAACAAGUAAACCAAGAACCCAUAUUGUUCAAAACCGUUCUUGCUAUGUUGAUCUUUGCGUACCGUGGUUGAUUACCCUAAGUUAAACUCUGGAGUAGGGACACUAAUUAAGCCCCUAAUAUGCGAGUUACUGAUAUUAAAUAAAUACCACUGCAUUUUUAUUAAAAAAACAUUUCCUGUGAUUUUAAUCCUGUAACGAUGAACAAAGCAGUGCAAAAAGAUAUCUUGUGGGAGUUUAAUUUAGGAUAGUAAAAAGCUCCCUGUAAAACUAACAGACAACAUAUCUCAUAGGGUUGUUUCGUGCCGCCAUUCCUUAUCUAUCUUCUGAUCCAGUUUGAAGUAGCACAUAAGAUACGUAUGGAUGGUGCUUAAGAUGGUAUGCAACUACAUGUAUCUAGAUUUGGAAAGAAAUAAAGCGGUGGUGUAUGUAUAUCAUUAGGCUAUUAUUUCACAAUUGCAGUGGAAACCUACUUUCUGGUCGUCGGCGCGACUGAGGCGGUCAAUGGCGUCAUCGCGCUAGGCAAGCUGAGAGCGCAUCCCGUGGCCUCAGUCUCCAGCCACCCGAUGUGGGAUGCGCAACGUGGGAAGCUAGCGCGUUGGAGGUGAUCUUUCGCGCCACGUCGAGCUGCUUAAACCGGUCCACCGGAAGCAUCGCCGCCAGCUUUUAUGAAGGUUAAUACUUCGUCGAGACGUGCCAGAAGUUUGUCGUCGGGACUGCCUCCUAAUUCCCGCCAUCCCAGCGCACCGGCGCCGCCUUGGACCGCUUCGAGCUCGACAACGACGACGGAGGGACUGUGGUUCUUCCGCCCUGGGCCUCCUCGACCUUGAUACCCGUGGCGGAGGGAUUGUGGUGCUGCCGCCCUGGGCCUCCUCGACCUUCAUACCCGCGGCGGAGGGAUUGUGCAGCUACCGCCAAAGGGUUCUCCAACAACCAGGAUCGCCGAGGCGGGUUCGGAGUGUUGAUCUCUGGUGCAUACUUGGACUACUUCCUCGUGGAGUUGAUGCCGGUUAUUCGAAGCAGCAACAUGAUUAGCCUGUGGCAGCACCACUAAUGUCCUCAUGGUUACUUGAUUCCGCGGUUUGACCCUUCGAGGUGGUGUAGCCCAAACUGAAUACUGCUCCGUACAUGAAGAAGGGCCUCAUGAUGAGCUUUAGGAAGAUGGAGCAAUAACACAUGCUGAGUUGGAAAAAGAUCAUCCAUAGUUGAAGAACAUGACAAAGAACAGAGGAGUUUCAUUCUCUGAAUAAGGGAAAUCAAAAUGCAAAAAGCUUGCCUGAUUCGAGAGGGGGAGAGGGUGUUACAUACCUGAACUCCCUAAACUUCUCCGAUGAUCCGCCUUGUGACUCAAUGAUAUGAUCCGCCUCGGGAGGGACAGGUUGAACUCCAGAUACACGAGAUCUCUAGCCCGAGCCAUGGUUCAGUGUACCCUUUAUAUGACUGCUUCCUUCUCGCAAUUACGACGCGUUUAUGGGAAAUGUUUUAAUUACCAUAGCAUAAUGUAUGGGUCGAGUUAAUUUAAAUUAUUUGUUCACUGUAAUUUGUGGGAAGGUAAUUUGUGAGAUUACCAUUAGCGUGAUUCCUGAGCUGAUGAUUCCUAAAGUGGCCCAGGUUGAUUAAAUGCGUGAUUCCAGGGUGUUA
Molecule: long non-coding RNA, 1717 nt
Organism: Lolium rigidum
Lineage: Eukaryota; Viridiplantae; Streptophyta; Magnoliopsida; Poales; Poaceae
Exons: 5
Source: RefSeq, a predicted model, not a curated record